This is a small nuclear RNA of Tachyglossus aculeatus (Australian echidna), 106 nucleotides long. NCBI's taxonomy places the organism in Eukaryota, Metazoa, Chordata, Mammalia, Monotremata, Tachyglossidae. The record is from RefSeq and is a predicted model, not a curated record.
AUCUUCCUUCGGCAGCACAAAUACUAAAAUCAGAACGAUACAGAGAAGGUUAGCACGGCCCCUGCACAAGGAUGACACGCAAAUUUGCGAAGCGCUCCAUAUUUUU